CACACACACACACACACACACACACACACCCCCCCCUAAACAAGAAUAACUAGAAGCUGUGGCUUCAUUGAAGCUUAAUUUUUAAUUAAGGAAGGGUACUCCAGGAUGAGAAUUUGUGGUCUAUGUACUAGUUGAAAAACCAUGUUAAGUUGAAUUUUGAUGAUGAUAAAAUUAUUGUUAAAUUAAUCCAUCAUUUUCAGCUUUAUUUUAUAAAGGAAGAGGAAGGAAGUUAUUGUCAUCUCAAUCUCCCUCCAUUUUAUCCAACAUUUGUGUAAUGUCAAAGUUGUCAAAAUAUCACCAUUAUUGCUGGGAUUCUAAGAAAUCUCUACAAAUGCCUCUAAUGAUAUCAGAAACAAUUGGUUCUAAUCCUGUGAACUCUCUUGUGAAGAAAGCAUGUGACUCCUUUGGUUUAGAGGCCAUAUCUUUCAGGUCAUCCAGGGGUGCCCAAGCCACACCAACAGAGAAGAUGGUGAUACCUGCAAUGGAAAUAAUUUAAUUAAAAGCCAGUCUAAUUUAUAUGUACAGUUAUCUAUAUGUUUGUGUAUAUAUUCCAUAUAUUGGUGUAUAGUUGCAGAGAAUAAAGUUUCCUGUAUCCAAUC
Non-coding RNA from Ictidomys tridecemlineatus (thirteen-lined ground squirrel), 599 nucleotides. The record is from RefSeq and is a predicted model, not a curated record. Lineage: Eukaryota; Metazoa; Chordata; Mammalia; Rodentia; Sciuridae.